GAUGAAGAACGUAGCGAAAUGCGAUAAGUAAUGCGAAUUGCAGAAUUCAGUGAGUCAUCGAAUCUUUGAACGCACAUUGCGCCCUGUGGUAUUCCGCAGGGCAUGCCUGUUCGAGCGUCAUUUCAACCCUCAAGCCUCGCUUGGUGUUGGGCCCUGCCCGCCGCGGCCGGCCCUAAAGAUAGUGGCGGCGCCGCCUGGCCCUCAGCGUAGUACAGCUCUCGCUCCAGGGUCCGGCGGCAGCCUGCCAGAACCCCCCAACUCUGUGGUUGACCUCGGAUCAGGUAGGGAUACCCGCUGAACUUAAGCAUAUCAAUAAGCGGAGA
RNAcentral lists this unclassified non-coding RNA (323 nucleotides) under soil metagenome. Its description in RNAcentral is "partial contains 5.8S ribosomal RNA, internal transcribed spacer 2, and large subunit ribosomal RNA". The stretch from base 1 to 120 matches the Rfam family "5.8S ribosomal RNA", at positions 35 to 154 of the family's 154-position model. The record is from RNAcentral.